AUGAACGUUGCGCUUAUGCUGCGUUGGGUUUGGCGGAUCUUGCGGGGAGAUGGUGGGUUGUGGCUGCAGCUGGUUGAGUCCAAGUACUUGCAGGGUCAACCCCUCAUGGCUUGCUCUCACUCAGCUGGGUCACAGUUCUGGAAAUCAAUUCAGGCCAUCAAGGAAGAGAUUAGGUUGGGUGUGCGUUUUUCUUUUGGCAAUGGCUCUAGGACCCAAUUUUGGUUGGACCCCUGGCUCGAGAGUGAGCCUCUCCACUUGCGGUUCCCGCGGCUCUUUGCGAUUUUUGAUGACCCGACCAUUCUUGUAUCUGCGGCUGCGUUGGAGGAGGGGUGGAACAUUGCGUUCCGCCGCUCAUUCGGUCCAGAUGAGGUCCGGGAAUGGACUGGCCUGAGGGAAGUAGUCCCUCUUCCUCUAUCCCCGGACCCCGACACUGUUUCUUGGAGCCUUUCUCCUUCGGGUGAAUUCUCCGUUAGUUCGGCCUAUCAGGCAUUAUGCCGUAUGCCGGUUCUACAGUGGUUAUCCUCAUUGUGGAAGGCACCGCUGCCCCUGAAGAUUAAGAUUUUUGUAUGGCAACUUCUCCGAGACCGUCUGCCGUCGGGACCGAGGUGCUGA
Molecule: ribosomal RNA, 612 nt
Filed under: Triticum aestivum (bread wheat)
Lineage: Eukaryota; Viridiplantae; Streptophyta; Magnoliopsida; Poales; Poaceae
Description: partial small subunit ribosomal RNA
Source: RNAcentral